AACGCACAUUGCGCCCCUUGGUAUUCCGAGGGGCAUGCCUGUUCGAGCGUCAUUACACCACUCAAGCUCUGCUUGGUAUUGGGCCCUCGUCCUCCCGGGGACGUGCCCGAAAAUCAGUGGCGGUGCCGCCUGACUUCAAGCGCAGUAAUUUCUCUCGCUUUGGAAGGAAGGGUCGGUUGCCUGCCAGACAAACCCAUCAUUUUUUCUAUGGUUGACCUCGGAUCAGGUAGGGAUACCCGCUGAACUUAA
This 249-nucleotide unclassified non-coding RNA is filed under the name Cortinarius sp. RNAcentral's name for it is "partial contains 5.8S ribosomal RNA, internal transcribed spacer 2, and large subunit ribosomal RNA". The stretch from base 1 to 52 matches the Rfam family "5.8S ribosomal RNA", at positions 103 to 154 of the family's 154-position model. The record is from RNAcentral. Lineage: Eukaryota; Fungi; Basidiomycota; Agaricomycetes; Agaricales; Cortinariaceae. RNAcentral also lists the same sequence under 1 other name.